This 486-nucleotide ribosomal RNA is filed under the name uncultured bacterium. RNAcentral's name for it is "bacterial SSU rRNA". It matches the Rfam family "Bacterial small subunit ribosomal RNA", at positions 30 to 509 of the family's 1533-position model. The record is from RNAcentral.
AUUGAACGCUGGCGGAAUGCUUUACACAUGCAAGUCGAACGGCAGCACGGACUUCGGUCUGGUGGCGAGUGGCGAACGGGUGAGUAAUGUAUCGGAACGUGCCCAGUCGUGGGGGAUAACGUAGUGAAAAUUACGCUAAUACCGCAUACGAUCUAUGGAUGAAAGCGGGGGAUCGCAAGACCUCGCGCGAUUGGAGCGGCCGAUAUCAGAUUAGGUAGUUGGUGGGGUAAAGGCCCACCAAGCCAACGAUCUGUAGCUGGUCUGAGAGGACGACCAGCCACACUGGAACUGAGACACGGUCCAGACUCCUACGGGAGGCAGCAGUGGGGAAUUUUGGACAAUGGGCGCAAGCCUGAUCCAGCCAUUCCGCGUGCAGGAUGAAGGCCCUCGGGUUGUAAACUGCUUUUGUACAGAACGAAAAGGUUUCUACUAAUACUAGGAGCUCAUGACGGUACUGUAAGAAUAAGCACCGGCUAACUACGAGCG